AUAAGGGAAUAAAGAUGGAGUACAUCAAAAAAAAUUAUUCAAAACAUAAACUAAAGAGAAAGACAGUCGAGCUUGAGCUCUAAAAGCUUCUAGGAGCUGUUUUCAUCUCCGUCACUCACCGUUGCUUCAUCAUCAUCAUCAUCAUCAUCGUCACCGUCAUCAUCGAUUUCCGGCACCUCGUCUACAUCUUCGAUUAUGGUAGUCUGAGACUCCAGAAAAUUUCCAAUGCAACU
This 233-nucleotide long non-coding RNA is filed under the name Nicotiana benthamiana. Its description in RNAcentral is "long non-coding RNA (NBEN_LNC004909)". Lineage: Eukaryota; Viridiplantae; Streptophyta; Magnoliopsida; Solanales; Solanaceae. The record is from RNAcentral.